Molecule: ribosomal RNA, 497 nt
Filed under: uncultured bacterium
Lineage: Bacteria
Description: partial 16S ribosomal RNA
Rfam family: Bacterial small subunit ribosomal RNA
Source: RNAcentral
GAUGAACGCUGGCGGCGUGCCUAAUACAUGCAAGUCGAGCGAACGGACGAGAAGCUUGCUUCUCUGAUGUUAGCGGCGGACGGGUGAGUAACACGUGGAUAACCUACCUAUAAGACUGGGAUAACUUCGGGACACCGGAGAUAAUACCGGAUAAUAUUUUGAACCGCAUGGUUCAAAAGUGAAAGACGGUCUUGCUGUCACUUAUAGAUGGAUCCGCGCUGCAUUAGCUAGUUGGUAAGGUAACGGCUUACCAAGGCAACGAUGCAUAGCCGACCUGUGAGGGUGAUCGGCCACACGGGAGGGUGGACGCGGUCCAGACUCCUGCGGGAGGCAGCAGUAGGGAAUCUGCCGCAAUGGGCGGAAGCCUGACGGAGCGGCGCGGCGUGAGUGAUGGAGAUCUUCGGAUCGUAAAACUCGGUUAUGAGGGAAGAACAUAUGUGUAAGUAACUGUGCACAGCGUGACGGUACCUAAUCAAGAAGCCACGGCUAACUACGUG